CAAUUGCUUUGGCAUCACUGAAACAAUGAUCAGUUCCAUUUCAAGCAAAUAUACCAGUAAAAGAAAUCAUCCUCAGAAUACAUCUGUUCUAAACAGUUCAGAUAAAGAAAAUCUGUGGUCUUUUUCUUUUACAGAAAGAACCACCAAGUAUAAAAAAACUAAGAAGACUACAUUUCAGCCCAAG
Molecule: long non-coding RNA, 184 nt
Organism: Polypterus senegalus (gray bichir)
Lineage: Eukaryota; Metazoa; Chordata; Cladistia; Polypteriformes; Polypteridae
Exons: 3
Source: RefSeq, a predicted model, not a curated record